GAUGAACGCUGGCGGCGUGCCUAAUACAUGCAAGUCGAGCGAACAGACGAGGAGCUUGCUCCUCUGACGUUAGCGGCGGACGGGUGAGUAACACGUGGAUAACCUACCUAUAAGACUGGGAUAACUUCGGGAAACCGGAUCUAAUACCGGAUAAUAUAUUGAACCGCAUUGUUCAAUAGUUCAAGACGGUUUUGCUGUCACUUAUAGAUUGAUCCGCGCCGCAUUAGCUAGUUGGUAUGGUAACGGCUUACCAAGGCAACGAUGCGUAGCCGACCUGAGAGGGUGAUCGGACACACUGGAACUGAGACAAGGUACAGACUCCUACGGGAGGCAGCAGUAGGGAAUCUUACGCAAUGGGGGAAAGCCUGAAGGAGCAAAACCGCGUGAGUGAUGAAGGAAUACGGAUCGUAAAACUCUGUUGUUAGGAAAGAAAAAAAGUGUAUGUAACUAUGCACGUCUUGACGGUACCAAAACAAAAAGCCACGGCUAACUACGUG
Molecule: ribosomal RNA, 497 nt
Filed under: uncultured bacterium
Lineage: Bacteria
Description: partial 16S ribosomal RNA
Rfam family: Bacterial small subunit ribosomal RNA
Source: RNAcentral